UAGCCUCCCGCUGUGUGGGCUGGAUCACCUCCUGGAACGAGUGGCGGACGGGUGAGUAACACGUGGGUAACCUGACCUUAAGUGGGGGAUAACAUUUGGAAACAGAUGCUAAUACCGCAUAGAUCCAAGAACCGCAUGGUUCUUGGCUGAAAGAUGGCGUAAGCUAUCGCUUUUGGAUGGACCCGCGGCGUAUUAGCUAGUUGGUGAGGUAAUGGCUCACCAAGGCGAUGAUACGUAGCCGAACUGAGAGGUUGAUCGGCCACAUUGGGACUGAGACACGGCCCAAACUCCUACGGGAGGCAGCAGUAGGGAAUCUUCCACAAUGGACGCAAGUCUGAUGGAGCAACGCCGCGUGAGUGAAGAAGGCUUUCGGGUCGUAAAACUCUGUUGUUGGAGAAGAAUGGUCGGCAGAGUAACUGUUGUCGGCGUGACGGUAUCCAACCAGAAAGCCACGGCUAACUACGUGCCAGCAGCCGCGGUAAUACGUAGGUGGCAAGCGUUAUCCGGAUUUAUUGGGCGUAAAGCGAGCGCAGGCGGUUUUUUAAGUCUGAUGUGAAAGCCCUCGGCUUAACCGAGGAAGCGCAUCGGAAACUGGGAAACUUGAGUGCAGAAGAGGACAGUGGAACUCCAUGUGUAGCGGUGAAAUGCGUAGAUAUAUGGAAGAACACCAGUGGCGAAGGCGGCUGUCUGGUCUGUAACUGACGCUGAGGCUCGAAAGCAUGGGUAGCGAACAGGAUUAGAUACCCUGGUAGUCCAUGCCGUAAACGAUGAAUGCUAGGUGUUGGAGGGUUUCCGCCCUUCAGUGCCGCAGCUAACGCAUUAAGCAUUCCGCCUGGGGAGUACGACCGCAAGGUUGAAACUCAAAGGAAUUGACGGGGGCCCGCACAAGCGGUGGAGCAUGUGGUUUAAUUCGAAGCAACGCGAAGAACCUUACCAGGUCUUGACAUCUUUUGAUCACCUGAGAGAUCAGGUUUCCCCUUCGGGGGCAAAAUGACAGGUGGUGCAUGGUUGUCGUCAGCUCGUGUCGUGAGAUGUUGGGUUAAGUCCCGCAACGAGCGCAACCCUUAUGACUAGUUGCCAGCAUUUAGUUGGGCACUCUAGUAAGACUGCCGGUGACAAACCGGAGGAAGGUGGGGAUGACGUCAAAUCAUCAUGCCCCUUAUGACCUGGGCUACC
This 1176-nucleotide ribosomal RNA is filed under the name Lacticaseibacillus paracasei. RNAcentral's name for it is "bacterial SSU rRNA". It matches the Rfam family "Bacterial small subunit ribosomal RNA", at positions 59 to 1218 of the family's 1533-position model. Lineage: Bacteria; Bacillati; Bacillota; Bacilli; Lactobacillales; Lactobacillaceae. The record is from RNAcentral.